Long non-coding RNA from Lolium rigidum, 2047 nucleotides. RefSeq lists it as uncharacterized. The transcript has 3 exons. The record is from RefSeq and is a predicted model, not a curated record. NCBI's taxonomy places the organism in Eukaryota, Viridiplantae, Streptophyta, Magnoliopsida, Poales, Poaceae.
CGCGGCCACUCAUCUUCUAUUCCCAUUUAUCUUGCCAUUUAUUCCCCUCCCAUCCUUUUCCAGUACAGGUCCCGCAUACACCCUUCAUCCUGUGUUGCAUCCGGCCGCCUCCAAAUCCUACUGACCAUGCUCUUCAUCCAUCCACUCCUUCCCCACUAGAACGGAUAUGUUGCGAAUUGUUAGACAAAAAUCGAAUUUCUCCCCUUGCAGCCUUGCCGGAAGACAAUGUAUCGAUGCUGACUCAGGGGAAAAAAUCCGACAGACAUGCACAGGUGAGUUUCCAAUCUCUCGAUCUUGCAAAUUUGCUUCUGAUCUCUCAACACUACCUUGAGCUCUGCUUAAAGCAGAGCGUCCAACGUUGGUCAGAGGAGGGACUUAUUUCAUGCAUGGUGGCGUUGGCAACUACAACAACAGCUAUCCUUAAUAGUUUUGAUUAUGGUUCUAUCAGUUUAUUACUCAAAACAAAUCGAGCUGCUGCCGGAUGCUCCUCUCGAUGCAGCUGCGCCAAUGCAGGCCCUUUAGGAAUUCGCCAACAUCCGCCCUCUAAUCCGGUUGCAAUGAUAGGAUACAACGGUAAUUGGCAUGUCAAUGCACUUAUCUAUGCUUCGCCCGAAAGGCCUUUCAAAUUAUCUUUUAUUAAGCAUCAUCACAGCAGUCUGAAAUAACAUAGGCUUCAUUUAUAAUUGGUUAAGUAGAAUCCAUCUGUGAAUCCAAUAUUCUGCAACAUUUUCAUUGGGGAUUCUUUCUGAAACAUUUAUCAUUGAGUCCGUCUUAUGACAGCUCCAGCCUACCUAUGUUUGAGCUAUUUAUUUUUGAUUUUUUACCAACAGAUUAGAACACCAAGAACCACCUCAAUGUCAAGGAUGUAUCAUGUUACUCAUUCUCUCAAAAAUAUUAUAUUUCCCGAUAUGUUUAAUAGAGUAUUGUAUGUUCUUAACAGGAAGUCCAGAAGGUAUGCCAUUCCAAGCCCCUUUCUCUCUCAUUCAUUUUGCUACGGUGUUGUUUAUGCGGCAAGUGCUUUAUAUUGUUUGACUGCUUAUGCCCAUGAUUGAUACUCCACUUACAUUUAACUUUUACCAUCCUUUUAGGUCACCUACAUUUUAAUUGGUUUGUUCGUUCAUAAAUUUACGAUUCUCAACAUUUGAGUUGGAGAAUUUAUCAUGUUAAGCAGCAACAUACAGGCAAGGCAUUGACAAAACCAGUAGUAUAUUUUUCUAUGUUAUGUUACUAAUUAAUUAAUUCUCCUUUUUUUUGGAUCAUGACAUCUACUUUGGAUCUUCAGUUUGUACCGUCCUUUUCAGCUAGCAACUUUUGCCCUACCAAUACUGGCUUUGCUGGAGCAUGGCACACCACUAAUACACUCAUAAAAGUAUUAUUAUUUUUGCAUCCCUUUCUCUGUUAGUUUGCAUGCUGAAGCAUAGAAAAUAAUAUGCAGAUUUGUAUUGGUGAUAAGACAUUGUUUUAUAUGCAAUAAAAAUCUUCAUCUAUCGAUUGUGGCAUUUUUGUACCAUGUUUCAGCUCAACAUAUUGUUCACCAUAGUGUUCUCUCUUAUGUGCAAUGUGCUCUUCAUCAAGUUGUAUUCUCAUAGUUGAUGUUCCGGAGAGCUACCCACUCAAAUUUUUGACUGAUUUCCUUGCAUUAUUCCUUCAACUAUUUUAAUGCUACUACAGACCAGACAAGAAGGUAUUUAUCCAACUCUGUAAUAUAAAAUGGUUAAUCAUGUUUCAAAUUUAUUAUUCAUCAAUUGCUUAUUGAGCUUGCUUUGACCAAAAUUUUCUGAUAUACAGAUGAGUCAUUAGACUGCAAAACACUGCCCGUGCGUGUUUUAGAUUAGUCUUAUUAGCUGAACGGAUGGAUCACCCCACCUGAGCGCAUGCUACCAUUUCGUGUAAAAUGUAUUGUUUAUGUUAGCGCAACCGAGCUCAUUAAUUCUCUGCAUACCAUUUUUCUCUCCUCAUUGACCAUUUUCUUUAUAAAGUUCAUACACUGCAAUUGUUAUUGGUAGCCUCUUAUCUCUGAUGUCCUGCUGCAACGCGCGGGGUAUCA